RNAcentral lists this ribosomal RNA (497 nucleotides) under uncultured bacterium. Its description in RNAcentral is "partial 16S ribosomal RNA". It matches the Rfam family "Bacterial small subunit ribosomal RNA", at positions 28 to 507 of the family's 1533-position model. The record is from RNAcentral.
GAUGAACGCUGGCGGCGUGCCUAAUACAUGCAAGUCGAGCGCACGGACGAGAAGCUUGCUUCUCUGAUGUUAGCGGCGGACGGGUGAGUAACACGUGGAGAACCUACCUAUAAGACUGGGAUAACUUCGGGAAACCGGAGCUAAUACCGGAUAAUAUCUUGAACCGCAUGGUUCAAAAGUGAAAGAUGGUCUUGCUGUAACUUAUAGAUAGAUCCGCUCUUCAUUAGCUAGUUGGUAAGGUAACGCCUUACCAAGGCAACGAUCAAUAGCCGACCUGAGAGGGUGACCGCCACCACUGGAACUGGGACACGGUCCAGCCUCCUACGGGAGGCAGCAGAAGGGAAUCUUCGGCAUUGGGCGAAAGCCUGACGGAGCAACGCGGCGUGAGUGAUGAAGGUCUUCGGAUCGUAAAACUCUGUUAUUGGGGAAGAACAUAUGUGUAAGUAACAGUGCACAUCUUGACGGUAACUAAUCAGAAAGGCACGGCUAACUACGUG